Molecule: long non-coding RNA, 474 nt
Filed under: Dasypus novemcinctus (nine-banded armadillo)
Lineage: Eukaryota; Metazoa; Chordata; Mammalia; Cingulata; Dasypodidae
Description: lncRNA (ENSDNOG00000050512.1)
Source: RNAcentral
GGCGUACACCACAUGCUCCUGAAUGCCAGCAUUUUCCCAGGGGGCGUCUUUCAGACUUCCUGUGCGCCUUGUGGACACGUCAUACAAGAGCAGGCAGUGCCAGGUGAAGAAAACUAGGACAUACCAUGUGGAGAACACUGAACUGUCCGGUUUGGAGGCCGACAGGACGGCUUGCUUAUUGCACAACAUCGAUGAAACCUCAAGGCUGUAGAACAGAGAAAGUAACGCUCUGGGGUCUCCAGCUCAAUGCCCCAUUCCUGGUGCGCAGCGGAUCCUCACUGCACGUCCAUUCUUUGCUUUCGUUUCCCUCCUGCAAGUUCAGGAAGGAAUGUGCGGGGGAGAGUCUCACCAACGGUGUCCACCAGGCCUUAAAUGGGUUUACUGUGGUUUCAAUAGCAUCGAUUGCUACAACACACAGAUUAAAGCGUACUUUACCACUUAGCGGCUUUUUUCUUCUUGCAAGCAGAUGGCGAU